UUUUCUGUGAUAAUUUUUUUUUUCGUUUUUUUGCUCGUAAUUUUCGAUUCUGUGAACAACAAAUUGAAACUAGGGAAGAUUUAUAUCAACAUUUAGAGUGCACAUAUGAUGCUAGGUUUACACUAAAAAUGUAAGGCUUACUUAGUAAAAAAAUGGUGUUAUGGCAUAUGUCUAUUAUUGGUAUAAUCUUUGGUUUUUGCCCGAUAGUCUUUGCUUUUCUUUUCUGCAUCAGAGUGGUGGUAGUUGUUGGCUAAUUUGCUGGGAGCAAAUAUUUGAUGCAAAAACAUCAGGGAUUCAGUAAUUUUGGCUAUUGUCAACAACUCUUCUUUAAGUGCGUAUAAUACAUGUUGACUACUCUUUGUGUAGUCUCAUUAUUCACUAGUACAAAAUCUGAUUUUUAGGACACUGGGGAUGUGGGGGAAACGACAGACCCCAUUCGUGGUUAUACAUUUUAACAGUUGGGAUUUGUCGAAACAUUUUUCUUCAGUUAAUUUACGGUACGAACCUGUCGAAUUUUUCGGUUAUGUUUACCCCCAACUCCUUCAAAGUUCUACCCCUAUCGGAUAUGAAUAAGAACCCUUAAAAUCAGAUUAAUCGUAGGGUCUCAAUUAGAUCUAAAAACUACCUAAAACUGAACACACAGAGAAAAUAAAAUCUCCCCUAUUCUCCAUCUUCGUGUUUAUCAAUAAUGAACUGUCUGCUUAACUUCCUCCAUGCGAUUUUUUCUGAUUUUCUUUUUCUUAGAAUCAGAUGGAAAACUCUGUCAAUUUCGAUCCCUUCAUAUAUCUUCAAAAUCCCUGAUUUUUGAAGAAAUUGGAAUCUGACUCAAAUUUCUAAUCCACCUAACAGAGAGAUUGGAGAAUUUUUUUUCUUUUUUGAACACUAAGAUCGCUUUGUACAUCUCCAUCUUCUACCUAGAUAACCACCUUGAUUGAAGAUACAUAUAAUUUUAGCUUGGAAUGGUGAAAUUGGUGGUGGAUUGAUGGAAAAUACGAUAGUGGAGGAGAAUCAUCAUCGAAAAGGUGAAGAAACCCAGGGUGGAGAAGAGUUUCUCUUAUGCAGUUAUUGCAGAUUUUUUUUAGGUCAAGGGAACUUCCUGUGGUUCAAGGGAUACAAAGUUUCCGGAGAAGAAACAAAAGCUAUGUGAUUUCGAGCUGCAGGUGAGCAAUGUGUCAUUAACUGUGGAUUUUUUUUUUGGGUUCUCUAUAUGUUAUUUAGAGUAAAUCCGGGAAGGAGUUAAAAAAGUUGCUAGGAAAUUCAGCUGGAAUGAAUGAUUCAGAUGCUGGAAGCUCAUGUUAUUUCAUUCAAGAGUACCUAAAUUUCACUUAACCUUCCAUGUGUUCUUUUUUGUCAAGAUGUUUGUUCCCUUGCAUUUCCAAAAGUAUUUUUCAGUAGAUCUUGGUUGAAGUUUUUAGCAGUGUUGACUGAUUAUCAUGGUGUAGUUUCUCUUAAGCAGUUUUUGCAGAUUGUUACAAGCUAAGGGAAGCCACCACUGUUGUUGAGGUAGGAUGUAACUUCAAGGAUGUCGGAUGGUGCAUAAGGAACAAACAUCUAUUCUUGUUGGAGAUAGAAAUUUAUGGAUAAUGUUUAAAAAAAUAGAAACAGUAGAUUAUGAAUGAUUUUGGAGGUUCGAAACCUCUUGUGGUUGAAGGGAUACGAUAUUCCAUAGAUGAAAUAAAACCAGGUAAUGAGUAAUGUGCUGGUAGUAUUAACUGUGGAUUUUGUUUUUGGCUUAUUUAUAUGUCGUUCGAGUUCAAAUCUUCUUUGGUGCAUGCUGAAGGAUUUAUGAAAGAUCAGAAAGACAUAGAAGAAACAAUGGGAGAAUUGAGUCCAGCAUUCAUAAGAUUUACUGAUAAUGUGAAGAUGGUUAUUGUCUAAGAAUAUGAAAGAAUCAAGGUGACAUCGUACUGGUACUGGGCUAUAGGUACACAAAUUAGGUGUAUUUGUUAUCUGUUGUUUAGAUAUUUAAAUCGCAUAGUUACAAGAAAAAGUUCCAUUAACAUUUCAUUUGUUUAGGUUGUUUACUGUUUCUAACAGCGAUAGGCACACUUACCUGGUAGAUCACUACUCUUGGUUUACAGUGAAAAUCCAAUCAUUCUCUCUAUUCCUUGAAGUUAAAUAUUGAAAAUCCCAUUCACAGGUGUGCUUCUCUAUUCUUGGUGCUGGGGCGUUGUGUUCAAGGUAGUAGUGUAAGCUAGACAUUAAGUUUGUCAGGAAACUGUCUUAUAGCGGUUAAGAGAUUUCUUUAGCCAUGCUUCAAAACGGUAGUGCCUUCAAAUGAAGUGGAUAAAUAUAAUAAAUGUAAUCUUGAUACUUCUCUUAUAUGUGAAUUUUGGCUUCUCGCUCAUAUUACUCACUUUGGUCUCUGUUGAUUGUAUGCUUUGAUAACACUCUGUCGUUUUACGCAUGUUUGGAUAUGUCCAUUUACAGGUCUGCUCUCUCUUCUUGGUGAUAGGGUGUCGUGUUCAAGUGGCUUACAACAGUGGAUAUUGGAUUUCUGGAAGGUCGGCGUCCUUAACUUAAAGAUGCAGAUGUUACGAUCAAUCCUUCAAAAGGUUUGUCUCUGCUUACUGGAGGUAUAUCGUCUGAUGAACAAAAGAAGCUCGGGCAUCUGGAAGUUAAAUAUGUUUAAAUAUUUUUUUAUUUUCUUUGUUGUAUUGAACAUGAAGUAGCUUCUAUUGGUUCUGGUUUCUCAAGUUGUAAUUUUUCUUUUGAAGCAUUGGUUGUAAUUGAAUCUAAGUUAAUUAUAAUAAAUUUGUUUGA
Papaver somniferum (opium poppy) is the source of this 2763-nucleotide RNA transcript. RefSeq lists it as uncharacterized. NCBI's taxonomy places the organism in Eukaryota, Viridiplantae, Streptophyta, Magnoliopsida, Ranunculales, Papaveraceae. The transcript is spliced from 3 exons. The record is from RefSeq and is a predicted model, not a curated record.